AGUCACUGACGAGUGGCGAACGGGUGAGUAACAUAUCGGAACGUGCCCAGUAAUGGGGGACAACUCGGGGAAACUCGAGCUAAUACCGCAUAAUAUCCACGGAUCAAAGCGGGGGAUCUUCGGACCUCGCGCCGGGAGAGGAGCCUGCGUUAGAUUAGCUAGUUGGUGGGGUAAAGGCCUACCAAGGCGACGAUCUAUAGCUGGUCUGAGAGGACGAUCAGCCACACUGGAACUGAGACACGGUCCAGACUCCUACGGGAGGCAGCAGUCGGGAAUUUUGGGCAAUGGGCGCAAGCCUGACCCAGCCAUGCCGCGUGUGUGAAGAAGGCCUUCGGGUUGUAAAGCACUUUCAGUCGUAAAGAAAGGCUCUGGGUUAAUACCUCAGGGCCAUGACGUUAGCGACAGAAGAAGCACCGGCUAACUCCGUG
This 428-nucleotide ribosomal RNA is filed under the name uncultured bacterium. RNAcentral's name for it is "bacterial SSU rRNA". It matches the Rfam family "Bacterial small subunit ribosomal RNA", at positions 82 to 507 of the family's 1533-position model. The record is from RNAcentral.